Molecule: small RNA, 1070 nt
Filed under: Bos taurus (domestic cattle)
Lineage: Eukaryota; Metazoa; Chordata; Mammalia; Artiodactyla; Bovidae
Description: partial maternally expressed gene 8 transcript variant 4
Rfam family: Maternally expressed 8 exon 2 (bases 1-107)
Source: RNAcentral
GACCUCGGCUCCCGUGUUGCCAGGAUCCGACCUCUCCUAGUUGAAAACAGCCUCGUGUUCCCCUGGGCCGAGGGGCAGCUCCAGAGGACUGGCUGAGUGCUCCGCGGCACUGGGACCGUUGUGAAGAUCAGAUGGGACAUUGUACGCGAAGGCAUGCUGCGGACACUACAUGCCUGGGCAAGAGCGUGGAGGCCCCAGAGUGGGUCUGAUGACACUGUUGAUGAAGAUCUUGGCUGUGACCUCUGUGGGAAAUGAGCCAUGGACCAACCAAUAUUCAACAUACUUAAUCUGAUUUACUCAUUACCAGUGAUGACGAUCUUGUCUGUCACUUCUGUGGAUAGAAAGCAACGGGACUCAUGUAAGUAACAACGUUUGUGUUCUUGGUUUGAAGGUAAUUCAUGUGGUCCGUGGAACUGUUUCAGAGGAAUGAGUGGCUACUGCAAAGUCAGAGGAAGCCACAUAUGGACCAGUGCUGAGGAUGGUCAUGAACCAGGGAUUAAGAGCGAUCCCUAUUAGUGCAACAGAGGUCCAUGAAAAACGAAGUUUGAGGUUUUGCAUCAUUUUUGCAGUUGCUUAGUAUUGCAUUUUACUUUUGUACCACAUUGUAGGAGUAUUUCUCAGUUGAUGACAGUCUAGGUUGUUAAAUCCUGGAGGAGGGAGCACCUAGCCAGAUAGAAAGUAUUGUUGAUCCUCUAGGUGUGGGGUAAGAUAGUAAGUUCAUUGUACUACUUCUAAAAUACAAAGAAAUUACAUGAAAGCUGAGCAAGUAGAGAGUCAUAAAACACAUGGGAAGGGUAUGAAGCAAGGUUAUUGAUUAAUCUAUAUUGAAACACUGAGAUUCAAUUAAAAAUAGACCUCAUUUGUUAACUCUGUGCGAAAUAAAUAGUUGUAAACAGCUCUGUGCAAUAUUCAAAGAUCUUGCUCUUAGGUUUUUGUGAUUCACAGAAAACAAUUUUUUAAAAAAAUCAAUGAAACCAUGAAUGAAAUGAUAAAUAAUGAAUGCAUAAAUAAUCCAUAAGCAAUGUAUAAGUAGAUAAAUAAAGAGUAUUGAAGUAAAUAAAAAAAAAAAA